UAAGGAAUAUUGGUCAAUGGACGCAAGUCUGAACCAGCCAUGCCGCGUGGAGGAUGAAGGUCCUCUGGAUUGUAAACUUCUUUUAUCUGGGACGAAACACUUCUUUUCUAAGAGGCCUGACGGUACCAGAUGAAUAAGCACCGGCUAACUCCGUGCCAGCAGCCGCGGUAAUACGGAGGGUGCAAGCGUUAUUCGGAUUUACUGGGUUUAAAGGGUGCGUAGGUGGGCUUAUAAGUCAGUGGUGAAAUCUCCGAGCUUAACUUGGAAACUGCCGUUGAUACUAUAGGUCUUGAACUAUCUGGAGGUAAGCGGAAUAUGUCAUGUAGCGGUGAAAUGCUUAGAUAUGACAUAGAACACCAAUUGCGAAGGCAGCUUACUACAUAUAAAUUGACGCUGAGGCACGAAAGCGUGGGGAUCAAACA
RNAcentral lists this ribosomal RNA (422 nucleotides) under uncultured bacterium. RNAcentral's name for it is "bacterial SSU rRNA". It matches the Rfam family "Bacterial small subunit ribosomal RNA", at positions 355 to 774 of the family's 1533-position model. The record is from RNAcentral.